Molecule: transfer-messenger RNA, 325 nt
Filed under: Clostridium sp.
Lineage: Bacteria; Bacillati; Bacillota; Clostridia; Eubacteriales; Clostridiaceae
Description: partial transfer-messenger RNA
Rfam family: transfer-messenger RNA
About the family: Bacterial tmRNA, also known as 10Sa RNA or SsrA, is named for its dual tRNA and mRNA-like properties.
Source: RNAcentral
GGGGCAGUACCGGUUUCGACAGGGACUGUGCAGCUGGUGAAGCUAUCCGUAUGCAAUGCGUUAAAUGGCAAACUUAAAAUUAAACGCAAAUAACAAAGAAUUUGCUCUUGCUGCUUAAUUGCAGCUUGUGUCGGCCUUAGCGCACUCACACGCUGAGAAUCCGGCAUCGACUUUGUGAGAAACGACGACGGGAAGGUUCCGCACCGCCGGGCGUAUAAGGAACUACUGAACUUCUGAGGGUGUCCUUCCCCGCAGGACAGAGGGAAUGUCAAAUGACGGACUAUGAUAGUAGAAGAACAGGGAAUCGGUUUUUGGACACGGGUUC